This 76-nucleotide transfer RNA is filed under the name Cordylochernes scorpioides. RNAcentral describes it as "tRNA-Thr". It matches the Rfam family "tRNA". Rfam says of the family: Transfer RNA (tRNA) molecules are approximately 80 nucleotides in length. Their secondary structure includes four short double-helical elements and three loops (D, anti-codon, and T loops). Lineage: Eukaryota; Metazoa; Arthropoda; Arachnida; Pseudoscorpiones; Chernetidae. The record is from RNAcentral.
GGUCAUGUGGCCUAGUGGUCAUAGCAUCUGCCCGGUAAGCGGAAGGUCGUGGGUUCGAUUCCCAUCCCUUGACACU